This 561-nucleotide ribosomal RNA is filed under the name uncultured archaeon. RNAcentral describes it as "bacterial SSU rRNA". It matches the Rfam family "Archaeal small subunit ribosomal RNA", at positions 326 to 887 of the family's 1478-position model. The record is from RNAcentral.
CGGGGUGCAGCAGGCGCGAAAACUUUACAAUGCCGGCAACGGCGAUAAGGGGACCUCGAGUGCCAGGUUACAAAUCUGGCUGUCGAGAUGCCUAAAAAGCAUUUCAUAGCAAGGGCCGGGCAAGACCGGUGCCAGCCGCCGCGGUAACACCGGCGGCUCGAGUGGUAACCGUUAUUAUUGGGUCUAAAGGGUCUGUAGCCGGCCGGAUAAGUCUCUUGGGAAAUCCAGCAGCUCAACUGUUGGGCUUUCAGGAGAUACUGUCUGGCUCGAGGCCGGGAGAGGUGAGAGGUACUUCAGGGGUAGGGGUGAAAUCUUGUAAUCCUUGAAGGACCACCAGUGGCGAAGGCGUCUCACCAGAACGGACCUGACGGCAAGGGACGAAAGCUAGGGGCACGAACCGGAUUAGAUACCCGGGUAGUCCUAGCCGUAAACGAUACUCGCUAGGUGUCGGCCACGGUGCGACCGUUGUCGGUGCCGUAGGGAAGCCGUGAAGCGAGCCACCUGGGAAGUACGGCCGCAAGGCUGAAACUUAAAGGAAUUGGCGGGGGAGCACAAGGGCGA